Molecule: signal recognition particle RNA, 265 nt
Filed under: Leptotrichia sp. OH3620_COT-345
Lineage: Bacteria; Fusobacteriati; Fusobacteriota; Fusobacteriia; Fusobacteriales; Leptotrichiaceae
Description: signal recognition particle sRNA large type
Rfam family: Bacterial large signal recognition particle RNA
About the family: The signal recognition particle (SRP) is a universally conserved ribonucleoprotein involved in the co-translational targeting of proteins to membranes. Archaeal SRP consists of a 7S RNA and homologues of the eukaryotic SRP19 and SRP54 proteins.
Source: RNAcentral
UCAUACUAGCCGGGGAGUUAGCGGUGCCCUAUAUCUACAACCCGCUUUAGUAGAGGUGAUGUCGAGCCUGAGGAUAGUUUCAGUGCCAAAGCCUCAGACUAAAAAUGUUGAGAAGACAGUCCUGUAUUGUAGAGAGUCGGUGAACCGUGUCAGGUUGGGAACGAAGCAGCACUAAAUCGAUUUCUUUAGGUUUACAGGGUCGCUGUUUUUGAGUUUUUAAUCUGAGAAACCGGCGGUGAGAUUUUUUCAAAGGUUCGGCGUAUGA